UGGCUUCAGGACACCACAGGCCC
RNAcentral lists this non-coding RNA (23 nucleotides) under Rattus norvegicus (Norway rat). Lineage: Eukaryota; Metazoa; Chordata; Mammalia; Rodentia; Muridae. The record is from RNAcentral.